GGCCUUUAUGAACAAAGAAUACAAUUGACAUAUAGAAAAGCUUCAGGGCAUAAACGAUUUUGAAAGAAACGUUGUCAGAGGCAUCUACUAAAUGUCUACCCAUUUGGAAGACUAAAAGGUAUUCUCCUAGUCAGUAGUAGCAUUAUUUUCAAUCGUUUCGGUGUUUUGCUUUUCAGUUUUUUGUCGUUACAGCUGGGCCCUUGAAGGUACAUAUGAAGAUACUACUCACCACCAAAGUCAGACACUUUUGCUCCUCUGAUGGCGAGGACAGGAUUCUUACCAGCAUGCUCUUCGAACUUCUCAGCCUGUUGUCAUUCAAAAACAAAGUACUGUCACAGGUAGCCCAGGCAGUGGUUUCGAAGCUUGUUCGUAGCUUGGAAUCGGCUGUUAUUCUUAGAGGUAAAACAAAGGGAUUAAAGUAGUGAUUUUUUAUAACGAAUGGUGUUAGAGCUAUAGGGUUGGGAUAACCAUGUGCAUUACUUUCCCUUUUUAAAAAAACAUAAUUAUUCAUUUCUUGUUUUGUUUUUCUAAAGAAAAAGAGGAAAAUAUUGGUUGAAAAGAACAGUGCACUUUACCUCAUCUCCCCAGAGUGUUGCAGUCACACUUUUCUCAGAUCUGUCCAACAGGGUAAUAUCACGCUUGGACACCUGCAGAUACAUCAUAUCAGUAAUAUACCAUUUUUGAAGCCGGGGAAACAUAACAAGCUUUUUCAUGAACUGUAUUAUUUCUUAGAAAUAUAACAAAAUAACAAUAGAUGUACCUGCUUGUUUGUAGUUUUUGUCGUGAUUUGGGCUAAGUCUCCAACGUUUGUAACAACACCCAAGAUAUCUGAAUGAAAAAUAACUGUGUCAGAAUAACAGUUCCACUGUUGUGAAACUAUACUCUUUAAGUAAAGAAGGGUCUUACCAA
This is a long non-coding RNA of Nematostella vectensis (starlet sea anemone), 909 nucleotides long. RefSeq lists it as uncharacterized. Lineage: Eukaryota; Metazoa; Cnidaria; Anthozoa; Actiniaria; Edwardsiidae. The record is from RefSeq and is a predicted model, not a curated record. The transcript has 2 exons.